CCUGGUGGCGGGCGUCUCGGGAGUGCCGUCGGCGGGUUAUUUGACCCGUCUUGAAACACGGACCAAGGAGUUUAGCAUGGUCGCGAGUCAUUGGGAKYGAGARACCCAUUGGCGCAAUGAAAGUGAGUGCACGCGAUCCCUUCCCCUCGGGGAGGGGCGCAGCGUGGCCCCAUGGCRGCGGCUUGCCGCGCUGUGGAGGCAGAGCGACCACGCUGAGACCCGAAAGAUGGUGAACUAUGCUUGUGCAGCCUGAAGCCAGAGGAAACUCUGGUGGAGGGGCGAAGCGGUUCUGACGUGCAAAUCG
RNAcentral lists this ribosomal RNA (304 nucleotides) under Bunonema sp. SRC-6B. Its description in RNAcentral is "LSU rRNA". It matches the Rfam family "Eukaryotic large subunit ribosomal RNA", at positions 604 to 900 of the family's 3401-position model. The record is from RNAcentral. Lineage: Eukaryota; Metazoa; Nematoda; Chromadorea; Rhabditida; Bunonematidae.